CUGCGAGCUUUGCGCUCGCAACGUUCUUGGGUCUGUGAGAGGGUCGGUUCUUCUGUUCUUUUCCGGAGGGGCGAGAGAAAUAAGAAUUUUUGUUUAAGAAUAUAGAAUGUUUGAUGAGGAGUGUAGUUAAAGAUAUUUUCUCAGUGUUUUUGUGAAAGACACUGCGCGGAAACUGACUUGUGCAAACUAAGGUUAUUCUGAAUAUUAUUCUCAGAAUUAUAUAAUUCCAAAUGAGGGUGCCUUAUAGAAGAGCAGUGAACGUCGAACGUUUUCCAUUCUACGGUUCGGAAAUAUUUAAC
Long non-coding RNA from Nomia melanderi (Alkali bee), 299 nucleotides. RefSeq lists it as uncharacterized. NCBI's taxonomy places the organism in Eukaryota, Metazoa, Arthropoda, Insecta, Hymenoptera, Halictidae. The record is from RefSeq and is a predicted model, not a curated record.